Molecule: ribosomal RNA, 253 nt
Filed under: uncultured bacterium
Lineage: Bacteria
Description: partial 16S ribosomal RNA
Rfam family: Bacterial small subunit ribosomal RNA
Source: RNAcentral
UACGAAGGGUGCAAGCGUUACUCGGAAUUACUGGGCGUAAAGCGUGUGCAGGCGGGCUAGCAAGUGGUGUAUGAAAGCUCCCGGCUCAACCGGGAAGGGUUAUGCCAGACUGCUAGUCUUGAGUGCGAGAGAGGAGCGUGGAAUUCCGGGUGUAGUGGUGAAAUGCGUAGAGAUCCGGAGGAACCCCAGAGGCGAAGGCGGCUUCCUGGACCGACACUGACGCUGAGGCGCGAAAGCUAGGGGAGCAAACGGG